This 497-nucleotide ribosomal RNA is filed under the name uncultured bacterium. RNAcentral describes it as "partial 16S ribosomal RNA". It matches the Rfam family "Bacterial small subunit ribosomal RNA", at positions 28 to 507 of the family's 1533-position model. The record is from RNAcentral.
GAUGAACGCUGGCGGCGUGCCUAAUACAUGCAAGUCGAGCGAACGGACGAGACGCUUGCUUCUCUGAUGUUAGCGGCGGACGGGUGAGUAACACGUGGAUAACCUACCUAUAAGACUGGGAUAACUUCGGGAAACCGGAGCUAAUACCGGAUGAUAUUUUGAACCGCAUGGUUCAAUAGUGAAAGACGGUCUUGCUGUCACUUAUAGAUGGAUCCGCGCUGCAUUAGCUAGUUGGUAAGGUAACGGCUUACCAAGGCGACGAUGCAUAGCCGACCUGAGAGGGUGAUCGGCCACACUGGAACUGAGACACGGUCCAGACUCCUACGGGAGGCAGCAGUAGGGAAUCUUCCGCAAAGGGCGAAAGCCUGACGGAGCAACGCCGCGUGAGUGAUGAAGGUCUUCGGAUCGGAAAACUCUGUUAUUAGGGAAGAACAUAUGUGUAAGUAACUGUGCACAUCUUGACGGUACCUAAUCAGAAAGCCACGGCUAACUACGUG